This is a non-coding RNA of Mesorhizobium metallidurans STM 2683, 115 nucleotides long. The record is from Rfam. NCBI's taxonomy places the organism in Bacteria, Pseudomonadati, Pseudomonadota, Alphaproteobacteria, Hyphomicrobiales, Phyllobacteriaceae.
AACGCUCUAACGGGGUGCCGGACGCGAUCUUCGCGGACCGGCUGAGAGGCAAGCCUGCCAACCCGCUGAACCUGAUCCGGUUUGUACCGGCGGAGGGAUUAGACGUUUCGGACAU